AGAGUGAACGCUGGCGGUAGGCCUAACACAUGCAAGUCGAACGGCAGCACGGUAAGAGCUUGCUCUUAUGGGUGGCGAGUGGCGGACGGGUGAGGAAUACAUCGGAAUCUACCUUUUGGUGGGGGAUAACGUAGGGAAACUUACGCUAAUACCGCAUACGCCCUUCGGGGGAAAGCCGGGGACCAGCAAUGGCCUGGCGCUGAUAGAUGAGCCGACGUCGGAUUAGCUA
Molecule: ribosomal RNA, 229 nt
Filed under: uncultured soil bacterium
Lineage: Bacteria
Description: partial 16S ribosomal RNA
Rfam family: Bacterial small subunit ribosomal RNA
Source: RNAcentral